GACGUGAUAGCUAUGUUCAAUGGCUUCACUAUAGUAACCAUUGUACUAUCUACAGGAAUCCCAUAACCUCAUGUUGUAAACCUCAAAUAUACACAAUAACAUUUAUUUUUAAAAAGAAAAAGGAAGUCUCCUGCGUGUUCGGGAGGUUCUCCCAGACACUGUCCACACACAUUGCCCAUGAUUCUUCCUGUUGGGUUGGAAUCAGGUGGUGAAUGGCACUGCUCCCUUAACCACCAUGCUAUCCAGUCACUAGAAUUUCUGCCUAUUCCUGCGAACACAUGACUGUCCACAAUCAGAUAGCAUCAGACAUGUCAAGGUCAACCAUCAGACAAACCAGCAUUUAGAGGAUAAGCAAAAGAACAGGGGACCCUGCCCUGGAUGAGACUCACAGUGGUGCUGAGGGAUGGAGGGAGUUUCUGCUCAGACAGCACAAGCACAACGGACACCAAAUAUGUGAUGGCAAACUGGGAGAAAAUAUUUGCAGCAUGUAUGUAGUAGGUGAAAAGCACUGUCUUUUGGUCUUAGGAACCCAGUUAAGGGAUCUACUUGAGAUUUAAGAAGCAAGAAAUGGAAUACCAGGCAAAAACAAUAAAGUUGCACCAAGGUCUAUAUGGGAUUGACAGCAAGACAUUUUAUCUGAGCCCUAGUCAUUGUCCUGUGCAUUCUGAACCAGGUAGGAACUAGAGUCUACAUUUGGAAGGAACUGCAAAUGAGUGCCAAGUGAUCCAGUUGAAAAAUUAGAGACAUCAGCAAUUCCAUGAAGAUGUCACCACCCUAAGUGUCAAUAGAAUCCCUGUUAUAAUAGUAGGAUAUUGACCCAUGAGUUGGAUAAAAUUUGUUCAU
This 843-nucleotide long non-coding RNA is filed under the name Homo sapiens (human). RNAcentral's name for it is "HSALNT0347284". Lineage: Eukaryota; Metazoa; Chordata; Mammalia; Primates; Hominidae. The record is from RNAcentral.